UCAAGAGACCCAACCCAGGUCUGACCUUGGAUGUUUGCUCCAUGUGACAAAAGCAGGCCUGUCUCAGGACCUUUUCUUUUCUUUUUUCCUUCUUUUUUUUUUUUUUUUUUGACACGGAGUUUCGCUCUUGUUGUCCAGGCUAGAGUGCAAUGGCAUGAUCCCAGCUCACCGCAACGUCUACCUCCCAGGAAGUGGAGUGACAGGGGACAGGUAGAGAGAAGGGGGCCCAGUGGCCAGGGAGUGAAGGAGGUGGCGUUGCUGAGAGCAGUCUGCACAUGCUUCUGUCUGAGUGCAGGAAGGUGUUCCAGGGUCGAAAUUACACUUCUCGUACCUGGAGACGCUGUUUGUGGGAGCACUGGGCUCAUGCCUGGCACACAAUAGGUCUGCAAUAAACCAUGGUUAAAUCCUGA
RNAcentral lists this small RNA (410 nucleotides) under Pan troglodytes (chimpanzee). RNAcentral describes it as "processed transcript". The record is from RNAcentral. Lineage: Eukaryota; Metazoa; Chordata; Mammalia; Primates; Hominidae.